RNAcentral lists this ribosomal RNA (468 nucleotides) under uncultured bacterium. Its description in RNAcentral is "partial 16S ribosomal RNA". It matches the Rfam family "Bacterial small subunit ribosomal RNA", at positions 28 to 507 of the family's 1533-position model. The record is from RNAcentral.
GACGAACGCUGGCGGCGUGCUUAACACAUGCAAGUCGAACGGAAAGGCCCUGCUUUUGUGGGGUGCUCGAGUGGCGAACGGGUGAGUAACACGUGAGUAACCUGCCCUUGACUUUGGGAUAACUUCAGGAAACUGGGGCUAAUACCGGAUAGGAGCUCCUGCUGCAUGGUGGGGGUUGGAAAGUUUCGGCGGUUGGGGAUGGACUCGCGGCUUAUCAGCUUGUUGGUGGGGUAGUGGCUUACCAAGGCUUUGACGGGUAGCCGGCCUGAGAGGGUGACCGGCCACAUUGGGACUGAGGUACGGCCCAGACUCCUACGGGAGGCAGCAGUGGGGAAUAUUGCACAAUGGGCGGAAGCCUGAUGCAGCAACGCCGCGUGCGGGAUAACGGCCUUCGGGUGGUAAACCGCUUUCGCCUGUGACGAAGCGUGAGUGACGGUAAUGGGUAAAGAAGCACCGGCUAACUACGUG